UGGCACAUAGGAUUUGACAGACAUUUAAUAACAUCUUUUUCUUACUCGUCUUCUUGUGAAUCUAUUUGCCUAAUAUUUGAUUAGAGCAAAAGUUUCGGGGCACAGUGGGGGUUGUCAGAUUUACUCACUGUGAUGUAGUCUGAGAUAUUCAAGUUACAUAGUCAUAGCUGGAGAAAAAAAUUUCCCGUGUUUUUGCCAAAAGAGAUCAUGGCUCGUGUAUAGGGUCAGCUUUGUUUCAGGCUGCUGACUGAGAAUUUGGAGUUUCCCAGGCUGAUACCUGCCUUUGCGGCUGCUUCUACAUGAGAAAGGGGAUUGCAGUUUGGUGUCUUUGCAAGAGCAUCUUUGGGUUGGGCAGAGUGAGUGUGAAUUCUUCUCUGCCAUUCACUGGCUUUCUCAUCACAGGCAAGAUGCUUAAUCCUGUCAGCCUGCGUACGUGCACCUGAAAAAUGCAAAUAAUAAAACUUUUGAAGGGA
Miniopterus natalensis is the source of this 473-nucleotide non-coding RNA. NCBI's taxonomy places the organism in Eukaryota, Metazoa, Chordata, Mammalia, Chiroptera, Miniopteridae. The record is from RefSeq and is a predicted model, not a curated record.